UGGGCUAGACAACAUCGGACAGCCUCAGAGAUGAGGUCUUCCCUUCGGGGACUGGUGGUUCAGGUGCUGCAUGGCUGUCGUCAGCUCGUGUCGUGAGAUGUUGGGUUAAGUCCCGCAACGAGCGCAACCCUUGCCUUUAGUUGCCAUCAGGUAAAGCUGGGCACUCUAGAGGGACUGCCGGCGUUAAGCAGGAGGAAGGUGGGGAUGACGUCAAGUCCUCAUGGCCCUUAUGCCCG
RNAcentral lists this ribosomal RNA (236 nucleotides) under uncultured bacterium. RNAcentral's name for it is "partial 16S ribosomal RNA". It matches the Rfam family "Bacterial small subunit ribosomal RNA", at positions 977 to 1209 of the family's 1533-position model. The record is from RNAcentral.